AGAGUUUGAUCCUGGCUCAGGAUGAACGCUGGCGGCGUGCUUAACACAUGCAAGUCGAACGAAGCACCUUGAUUUGAUUCUUCGGAUGAAGAUCCUGGUGACUGAGUGGCGGACGGGUGAGUAACGCGUGGGUAACCUGCCUCAUACAGGGGGAUAACAGUUAGAAAUGACUGCUAAUACCGCAUAAGACCACAGCACCGCAUGGUGCAGGGGUAAAAACUCCGGUGGUAUGAGAUGGACCCGCGUCUGAUUAGGUAGUUGGUGGGGUAACGGCCUACCAAGCCGACGAUCAGUAGCCGACCUGAGAGGGUGACCGGCCACAUUGGGACUGAGACACGGCCCAAACUCCUACGGGAGGCAGCAGUGGGGAAUAUUGCACAAUGGGGGAAACCCUGAUGCAGCGACGCCGCGUGAGCGAUGAAGUAUUUCGGUAUGUAAAGCUCUAUCAGCAGGGAAGAAAAUGACGGUACCUGACUAAGAAGCACCGGCUAAAUACGUGCCAGCAGCCGCGGUAAUACGUAUGGUGCAAGCGUUAUCCGGAUUUACUGGGUGUAAAGGGAGCGUAGACGGAGUGGCAAGUCUGAUGUGAAAACCCGGGGCUCAACCCCGGGACUGCAUUGGAAACUGUCAAUCUAGAGUACCGGAGAGGUAAGCGGAAUUCCUAGUGUAGCGGUGAAAUGCGUAGAUAUUAGGAGGAACACCAGUGGCGAAGGCGGCUUUCUGGACUGUAACUGACGCUGAGGCUCGAAAGCGUGGGGAGCGAACAGGAUUAGAUACCCUGGUAGUCCACGCCGUAAACGAUGAAUGCUAGGUGUAGGAGGUAUCGACCCCUUCUGUGCCGGAGUUAACGCAAUAAGCAUUCCGCCUGGGGAGUACGGCCGCAAGGCUGAAACUCAAAGGAAUUGACGGGGGCCCGCACAAGCGGUGGAGUAUGUGGUUUAAUUCGACGCGACGCGAAGAACCUUACCAGGGCUUGACAUUGAGUGAAAGGACAAGAGAUUGUCCCCUCUCUUCGGAGACACGAAAACAGGUGGUGCAUGGCUGUCGUCAGCUCGUGUCGUGAGAUGUUGGGUUAAGUCCCGCAACGAGCGCAACCCCUAUUCUUUGUUGCCAGCACGCUAUGGUGGGAACUCAAAGGAGACUGCCGCGGACAACGCGGAGGAAGGCGGGGAUGACGUCAAGUCAUCAUGCCCCUUAUGUCCUGGGCUACACACGUACUACAAUGGGAUGGACAGAGAGUAGCGAAGCCGCGAGGCCAAGCGAACCCCAUAAACCAUCUCCCAGUUCGGAUUGCAGGCUGCAACCCGCCUGCAUGAAGUUGGAAUCGCUAGUAAUCGCAGGUCAGCAUACUGCGGUGAAUACGUUCCCGGGCCUUGUACACACCGCCCGUCACACCACGGAAGUCAUUCACACCCGAAGCCGGCAGGCUAACCUUUAUGGAGGCAGCCGUCUAAGGUGGGGGCGAUGACUGGGGUGAAGUCGUAACAAGGUA
RNAcentral lists this ribosomal RNA (1492 nucleotides) under metagenome. RNAcentral's name for it is "bacterial SSU rRNA". It matches the Rfam family "Bacterial small subunit ribosomal RNA". The record is from RNAcentral.